Molecule: long non-coding RNA, 317 nt
Organism: Tympanuchus pallidicinctus (lesser prairie-chicken)
Lineage: Eukaryota; Metazoa; Chordata; Aves; Galliformes; Phasianidae
Exons: 4
Source: RefSeq, a predicted model, not a curated record
GAAGGAGCUCUACUGGAGAUCUGCUCUGCUGGAGUUUUGUGGGCCCAGGAUACAGAAAUCCAACGAACACUGGAAGCCAAAAUUCUCAACUGAAAUCACAUGGAAGUCAAGUCUUACAGAAUGUGGAAAGUGGUAUUAGGAAGAGGCUGGUUUUCCACUGGAGCAACUUGCUGAGUUUGUUCACCAUGGCAACACAAGGCCUCCCUAUCUGAUGCAAAGGAAGUGGAGAGAUUGUCAAGCUCAAGUGCUACUGCCCAGGACUAAAGAAGCAAACAAGUGGGAGAAAGAAAACAGAGACUGGCACACAGAGAAUGAAC